CCUUUACAGCUGGACUCACUGAGACCAAAUAACUAGACCUUCUGGGUUUUGGGACAUGACAACAGUCCUCUUGAGUGGCUUGUUCAGCAUGUGUUUACAUUAUUUAAAAGAUUCCUAUCAGUGCACAGCAACUGUUGCCACCAGUUACUUUAUGCCAAAAAUACCACGUCAAAAUUGGAUUUGAUUUCUCCAAAAGACACACCUACCAAUGAUGUCACGGCUCAAACCAACAUCUUUGGGUUCCAGCUGUGAACCAAUAUGUCAGGUGUCCACACCCACGUUCUUCAUGAGCACCACGAUGUUGGCUGUGGCCCCCUCCUCCAGGGUCCCAAAGCUAACUGUGGAAGGGCGGAGCUGGAAGCCUCUUAACACAGAAGUUGGAUCAAGCAAGGAAAUCAUGCGGGAGCGUCGCCUCGUCGGCUCCUCUACUGUCAGAAACUAGGACAGGUUAUAUAAAAAGUUUGGAUUAACAGCAACCCACCAUCGAUGUAAAACCAAAGGUACAGCUCUGUGUAUUUGUUUACUUGGGUAUUUGGCUCACUGCGAGGUUUAGCACUGAGGACUGACACUGGGAGUCUGACUUUGCUCCGUCUGGGUUUUCCAAUAACGUCCACUUCAAGCGACUUUUGGGGCCUUGAUGAGAGAUUGUAUCCACCUGUAAGAGGCACGUGAACACGUCAAUCUGUUGGUGACCAGCAGACAGGAAAGGUACGCACACGAAGGAACCCAAGCUUCUUCAGCAAAACCUGAAUCAGCCUGGAUGAGUCCCAUCCCACACCAGGAUGGUCAUUUUCAGAUCAAUUGACAACAGAGUGCGAUCAACAAACCUGUGGCCUGGUAUUCACUGCUGGAGAUUCUUCUGUCGGUGGGACCACUAAAACGGCAAAACACAUAUUUAGCACAUCCUGGCCUGACACUGGUGAUGGGCUACUGAGCCCACUAGAUGGCACUCUGCUUUAAAAUCAUUGGAUUUUUUAACCUCUCUUCGCUACUAAACCAAGAACCACCUACUGAGCUCUGAAAAUGAUUCAUAUUUCAUGAAGCCUCAUCAGAGCAUCACUACUUGACACCGUAAAGCUAGCAAAAAAAAAAAGCUUGACACACAGAACAUAAGCGAGUGGAGUGAAUAAAGAGCACUUCUGGACAGCAUGGACAGCAAAUACCUGGUAGUUUGUAGCAAUAUCGGCUUCAGAGGUUGUGCAGCUGUAGGGAUGAACAGAUUACAGAUGAAGACAGAUUUUUCUUUGCUGGCAUUUUUUAAACAUACGCUUCUUCUCUGUGUCCUCUGUCUUAGUGGAAUGAGAGGUCUUUGUGGAGCGUCGCACCAACAGGUUCUGGUUGGACAAGCAGAAGAUCUCAUCAGUGAAGGUCUCAAGAUAUGAAGCACCUUGGGACGUGUGCAUGAUAAAAAACCAAAGGCCCGCUCACAGGAUGGCAGGACAAAGAAAGAAAAAGGUUGCACCUAUCUAAAACCAAUUAACAGCAUAUGAGAAAAAAAAACACAGUUUCACACAGCAAAAUUAAACAAAGACAGUUGUACCUUGUAAAGAGGAAAAUUCUCCGGAUGAAAAUAGGGAACAACGUGGCGGGCAUUCACAGCAUCUCUACAGUUUCUGCCAUCAUUCAACUCCCUCCUACAGAGACCAGAAAACAACUGUGGAAAAGUCUGUAAAACUGUGCGAAAGCAUCCUGCAUAACCAAUGUCUUGACCUGUAAUGAGCGAGCCUUCUAGCCCAUUUAGAGUCCUUGGCAGAUAUGAAACUGGACAAAGACGAUAGUGUGAGCACAGACUGCUGAAUUUUGUUUGCAAUGGAAGUCUUGACAACCUGACACCAGUUGCUGACUGAGAAGACUGGGAGUCAUCCAGCUGCUCCUCUGGAACAAUCACUGCCUCUCUGUACAGAUUCUGUAUUUCCACUGAAAAAAGGAACAAAAAGUCUCGCGACGAUCACAAAUCACAACUAGUCCCCAAAAAUUGAACACCAACAACACCAAUUGCUCACCUGAACUUCUCUUUUCGAAUGUGCCAUCCUCGUCCUCAUCUUCAUCGUCGUCCAGGAAAGGCUGGACACAGACAAUAUUUGCAUCAAGAAACACAGGAACACUCAAACUAGCUAAAUACACACGCCUGUGUGUGAAUAAUUUACAACACCAUUCCCACUGUGUCUACAGUUUACAGAGUCUAUGUGUGUGUGUGUUUGGAUCUGGAAGUGUGGACCAAGACAGACCGUGAUGAGACGCUGUAGGUCUCCAGCGAGAAUUGUUUCCUCCUUUGAUCGAGGAUCUAAGACUUUUGAUGCUACUGAUCUCAGCUCCCGGUCCAUCAAACUCUGGAUGUAGUCCUGAACAUACACACACACACAUACACACGCACACACAGGUCAGGUCAGGACUACACAUAUACAUGACAGAACAUUUACCUUUUGCUGGUGUCACACCAAAGGGUUACAUUCAAACUCUCAGUGAACAUAUUUACAUUGUUUAUGGACAUCCCCACUGGUAUGUGAGUCGGACCUCCUAUUUGAUGUUGCAUCAAUGUCCAUCGAGUCAGCCACAGCAGUUUUUUUUUUUGUGUGUACCUUAAGCCGUGUGUCGAUAAUAUCCCUGAAUGAGGCAGUAAACGGUAGGUACUGAAGCACCUCUCUGAUCUCUAAAAGCUUUGGGCAAGAUCGAGUUGGUAGAGACGUAGGUCGAGCAGGUCUUUCCUUUAUAUUCAGACUGCACCCCACGUCUGUCCCGAACACAGCACCUGGAGUUUUCAUCUAUUGACAGGUCAGAAAAUGGUUUCAGUUAGAGUGGAGAAUACAUAUCAAAAAAGAAGAUCAGACUACUUUCUUAAAAAGGAGAGACCAAGUCAGUACCUCAAUUCUGGGGAAAUCCUUCCAGUUGCGAUUCAACAAGUUCGGAGGAGUUAUUUCCUGAACUUGUUUCCGUAGCAACCAUUUUGACCACACACUCAGGUGGCUUGGCUUAAGAAUGGUGAUCGCUAGUUCAUCUGGAAGAUAUAUGAAAU
This is a long non-coding RNA of Synchiropus splendidus (mandarinfish), 3013 nucleotides long. RefSeq lists it as uncharacterized. The record is from RefSeq and is a predicted model, not a curated record. NCBI's taxonomy places the organism in Eukaryota, Metazoa, Chordata, Actinopteri, Syngnathiformes, Callionymidae. The transcript is spliced from 3 exons.